Molecule: ribosomal RNA, 496 nt
Filed under: uncultured bacterium
Lineage: Bacteria
Description: partial 16S ribosomal RNA
Rfam family: Bacterial small subunit ribosomal RNA
Source: RNAcentral
GAUGAACGCUGGCGGCGUGCCUAAUACAUGCAAGUCGAGCGAACGGACGAGAAGCUUGCUUCUCUGAUGUUAGCGGCGGACGGGUGAGUAACACGUGGAUAACCUACCUAUAAGACUGGGAUAACUUCGGGAAACCGGAGCUAAUACCGGAUAAUAUUUUGAACCGCAUGGUUCAAAAGUGAAAGACGGUCUUGCUGUCACUUAUAGAUGGAUCCGCGCUGCAUUAGCUAGUUGGUAAGGUAACGGCUUACCAAGGCAACGAUGCAUAGCCGACCUGAGAGGGUGAUCGGCCACACUGGAACUGAGACACGUCCAGACUCCUACGGGAGGCAGCAGUAGGGAAUCUUCCGCAAUGGGCGAAAGCCUGACGGAGCAACGCCGCGUGAGUGAUGAAGGUCUUCGGAUCGUAAAACUCUGUUAUUAGGGAAGAACAUAUGUGUAAGUAACUGUGCACAUCUUGACGGUACCUAAUCAGAAAGCCACGGCUAACUACGUG